RNAcentral lists this ribosomal RNA (249 nucleotides) under uncultured bacterium. Its description in RNAcentral is "partial 16S ribosomal RNA". It matches the Rfam family "Bacterial small subunit ribosomal RNA", at positions 338 to 579 of the family's 1533-position model. The record is from RNAcentral.
CCUACGGGACGCAGCAGUAGGGAAUCUUCCACAAUGGGCGAAAGCCUGAUGGAGCAACGCCGCGUGAGUGAAGAAGGGUUUCGGCUCGUAAACCUCUGUUGGUAGGGAAGAAAGAUAGAGGGAGUAACUGGCCUUUUUUUGACGGUAAUUAAUUAGAAAGCCACGGCUAACUACGUGCCAGCAGCCGCGGUAAUACGUAGGUGGCAAGCGUUAUCCGGAUUUAUUGGGCGUAAAGCGAGUGCAGGCGGU